This 3477-nucleotide long non-coding RNA is filed under the name Brassica napus (rape). RNAcentral describes it as "long non-coding RNA (BNAP_LNC008199)". The record is from RNAcentral. Lineage: Eukaryota; Viridiplantae; Streptophyta; Magnoliopsida; Brassicales; Brassicaceae.
AAGAAAGCAUGGGACACAGCCAACAUCAUAGAAGUUUCGCAGCAAGAGCUUGAGUUUCUACUCGAUGAAGAGUACUACGAGAGGAGAAGAAACUACACACCGCAAUACUUUGCUGAGGAUUUCGAGCAGACUAAGAACCGGAGAGACUAUUACCAUUACACACCUGAGGAAAUCAAGCCGUUAUGGCACGACAAUCUGAAGCUGUUGGUUGUGACUGAUGGAACGCUACGGCUUCAUUACUAUACUCCCAAGUUUGAUGGUGUUGUGGUUGGGACGGAAGAUGUGCUUAUAACUCCUUUCACUUGCGAUAGAACGGGUUCUGGUGAUGCUGUUGUUGCAGGCAUUAUGAGGAAGCUGACAACUUGUCCUGAGAUGUUCGAGGACCAAGAUGUGUUGGAGAGACAGCUCCGGUUCGCAGUCGCUGCUGGGAUCAUAUCGCAGUGGACGAUUGGUGCGGUUAGAGGCUUCCCAACUGAAAGCGCGACACAGAAUUUGAAAGAGCAGGUUUAUGUUCCAUCAAUGUGGUAGUUAGAAAGACCGAGAACUGAGCUUCUUAAACUAAAUGUUUUUGAACAAUGUGAGAUGUAUACUGAUUUCACAACUGUAAUCCAAUGUACAAUCAUUUUUUUGUGUGUUCACUGAUAACAACAAUGUGAGAGGGUGGUGAGAACAUGAUACCCUAUGAAACUUAUGUUUGGUUAAGAGACAAAAAAUGCUGUAGCUUAUCCAAGUCUUGAUGCUCUUUCUGUAAGGACAAUCGAUUCUACAAGCUGUCUGAGCAGAACUCGGGUUACCUCCUUUCCUAUGUUGUACAAAAACGCUAUAAACUCGAUGAAAGUUGUUCUCUGUCGUGAUCCUGCAGUGUUUGACGUGAGAUUCUCGACUGUUUCUGAUAACUGUAUCAACACUAUCUUAAGGCACUCUUCUUCCAUGUCUUUGUCUCCGUUCUAAGACUUGAUUUUUUCCCAGAGCUGCGAGAAUAAGACUUGUUACAGAUGCAAUCAGGUUGUGGGUUCGCAUAGAAAUUCUCCUCUAGCCUGGGAAGUGCAGCAGGCUGUCUCGCAUAUGGCGCUCCAGUCCUGUCUCUGUUUAGUCGCUUAACCUCUGAAGCAAACUCUUCCCAAGAUAUGAAACCAUCAUCUAAAUGAUCUAUCAGUCUAACAAAAUUCAACCUGAAAUAAACACAGAACAAAUCAGCAAACAAGCAGUGAAUGAAUUAUAUUUCAUGUUAACAUAUACCUGUCUGGAUUUAUAGAUUUCCUAAAUCCUUCAAACCUUCUGUGCCCUUGUACCGCCUUAGCCAUGUUUCCAUCAUACGUAUACACAAAAACAUCGCUUUCAAGGGCCACAAUGUAGUCCAACGCAGCAAGCCGGUUCUGGUAUGGACUGAAAGGCUCCAACUCUUCUUCAGUUGCAAGAGUUGAAUGAGAGAAGACAUUUGGGUACUCCGCGCAGAAAGCAUCCAUACUCUUGCUUCCAUAGAUUUCACCAGCAACUAUAUAUACAGUUGUGGAGGAUGGAUAUCCCAUUGCCUUUAGAAAUAUGGCUGCUUCUCGCGGAGACAUAGGACAUCCGCCUUCAAUCCGUCUCUCUAUGCUAUCGAUCUCUUUCUCCUUCCAGUGUUUGACAUUGUACCUCAUGAUUCUCAGGUCUUCGGCUUCCUCAGAUGUAAGAUUGUGGCUGCAACCUGUAAAGGCAAGCAUGUCCUUCUCGUAUCUGCAAAUUUAAAACAUUUGACUCAAAACCAAGAUCCAGAUAAUAUCCCUUGCUGAUUAAAAAAAAGAAAAAAAUGCUGGAUUUACCUCAAAUGCAGAGCGAUAUACGGCUCACUGUUAUUUCUUAAACGGUUAACCAAUACAUUUCCCAGGUCCUCGAUCUCCUUCGUGUACGCCAGUGCCUUGUAAUUAGCACGACAUCUCAGUCUUUGGAUCGAUGGUGGCAAGCCGCCGGAACCGAGGGAAGUAAUCUUCGUCAUCUUCUUAUAAAGCACCGAAUAGAAAAAAAAACACGGUUCGGGUUUUUUCACAGGUUGACCCGGUUUGAUAAGAACCCGGGUCAGGACCCGAUAUGAUUUUUUUUUUAUUUUCAUUUUGAAAGAGGAAGAAGAUUUGGAUAAACCCUGGGCACAUCGAAGUAAAAACGAAACCCCUUCAUGGCUUCACUUCAUCUCUUUCCUCACCUUCACCAUUUUGAUCCAACCAUACAUCGCAGGGAGAUAGUAGCUCACACCCGGAAGCAAUUCCUAUCUCCGAGAGCUUCGAUUAAUGGCGGUAACACAAACGGAGCCGCAGCGGCGGAAACCGCUAAGCCUAGUCGCAAGGGGAGGAAGAAGAAGGAAAACUUGACGGUUACUAGUAUCGAGACGAAUCCUGAUUCGGAUCCUGAUUUAGUGGAUUACGACGACGGGAUGGACUUUCCGUACGACGACCCGCCUCUCGUCUGCUGCUUCGGAGCCGUGCAGAAGGAGUUCGUUCCUGUGGUGCGAGUCCACGAUAACCCGAUGCACCCCGACAUUUACUCCCAGUGGAAGAUGCUGCAGUGGGAUCCGCCGGAGUUCGGGCGGGCUCCGGGAGGUCCGCCGUCUAACGUGGCGAUCUCGCAUGUUCGGUUGGGCGGUAGAGCUGCGUUCAUGGGGAAGGUCGGUGAAGAUGAUUACGGGGAAGAGCUUGUUUUGAUGAUGAACAAGGAGAGAGUUCAGACGAGGGCUGUGAAGUUCGAUGAGGGUGCGAGUACUGCGUGUACUCGCGUUAAGAUUAAGUUUGAGGAUGGGAAGAUGAAGGCGGAGACGGUUAAGGAGCCGCCUGAGGACUCGCUUCUUGCUUCGGAGUUGAACUUAGCCGUGCUGAAAGAGGUAAAGUCUUUCAUUUUAUGGUUUAGGAUGAACACAGUUUGGCUUUUUAAGCUGUUUUCUACAAUGCCAUGAUAGGUUGAGCAUGAUGAGUCAUACGAUGUGUCAUGGCUAUUAAGCUGUUUUGUUUACUUCUGCUUUAUUACAAUGCAGGCGAGGAUCUUCCAUUUCAAUUCAGAAGUGUUGACGUCACCCACAAUGCAAUCAACUCUAUUCAAGGCAAUACAAUGGUCCAAGAAGUUCGGAGGGCUUAUUUUCUUUGACUUGAAUCUUCCGUUACCGUUAUGGAGAUCACGGAACGAGACUCGGAAGCUGAUCAAGAAAGCAUGGGACACAGCCAACAUCAUAGAAGUUUCGCAGCAAGAGCUUGAGUUUCUACUCGAUGAAGAGUACUACGAGAGGAGAAGAAACUACACACCGCAAUACUUUGCUGAGGAUUUCGAGCAGACUAAGAACCGGAGAGACUAUUACCAUUACACACCUGAGGAAAUCAAGCCGUUAUGGCACGACAAUCUGAAGCUGUUGGUUGUGACUGAUGGAACGCUACGGCUUCAUUACUAUACUCCCAAGUUUGAUGGUGUUGUGGUUGGGACGGAAGAUGUGCUUAUAACUCCUUUCACUUGCGAUAG